Long non-coding RNA from Parus major (Great Tit), 514 nucleotides. RefSeq lists it as uncharacterized. Lineage: Eukaryota; Metazoa; Chordata; Aves; Passeriformes; Paridae. The record is from RefSeq and is a predicted model, not a curated record. The transcript has 2 exons.
UUGACCGCUCCCUGCGCAGUGAGAGCGGCGAGGACUGCGUGGUGAUCCUGGAUGACGAUGAGGACGUGCAGGAGAUCCCGGAUGACGGCGAUGGCAGUGGCGUGGAAGAGGUCCCGACUGAGGAGCCCCCCAAUCCCCCCGUGGGACAGAAGGACCCCAACAGGGGCAGAAUUUAAUUGGGGGGGGGGGAUUUGGGGGUGCUGCACAUCUCCACCCCCCACUCCCCCCUCAGCAUUGCGGGUAACGAGGGGCUGGGGGCCCCCAACACAGCUCAGGGUGUUUGAAGGCCUUUCACCCCCCCUUCCCCCCCAAACCUUUCAGGAGCCCCCCCUCCAGGGACCUGGGGGGUGGGGGGGGUCCCCCCUAAAUCCUUCCCCCCCCCCCCACCACACACAAGGGGAGAAACACAACCAUUUCCUGACCAUUUUUGUACAUGUUGGGUUAAAAAACUUGUAAAAUUUUCUUUUUAUAUCUAAAAAUAUAUUAUAAUAAAGAGAAAGUUUUAAGAGAUUCA